This 869-nucleotide ribosomal RNA is filed under the name uncultured archaeon. RNAcentral's name for it is "bacterial SSU rRNA". It matches the Rfam family "Archaeal small subunit ribosomal RNA", at positions 1 to 878 of the family's 1478-position model. The record is from RNAcentral.
CUCCGGUGGAUCCUGCCGGACCUGACUGCUAUCGGAUUGGUACUAAGCCAUGCGAGUCAUUGUAGCAAUACAAGGCGGACGGCUCAGUAACACGUAGUCAACCUAACUCGUGGACGUGGAUAACCUCGGGAAACUGAGAAUAAACCACGAUAGAUCAUAGUGCCUGGAAUGGCUUAUGGUCCAAACAGUUUACUGCCAUGGGAUGGGACUGCGGCCUAUCAGCUUGUUGGUGAGGUAAUGGCCCACCAAGGCGAUUACAGGUACGGGCUCUGAGAGGAGAAGCCCGGAGAUGGGUACUGAGACACGGACCCAGGCCCUAUGGGGCGCAGCAGGCGAGAAACCUUAGCAAUGUGCGAAAGCACGACUGGGUCAGUCCGAGUGAUUCCUGAUAAAGGAGUCUUUUGCUUGUCCUAAAAGCACAGGUGAAUAAGGGGUGGGCAAGUCUGGUGUCAGCCGCCGCGGUAAUACCAGCACCUCGAGUGGUCAGGACGUUUAUUGGGCCUAAAGCAUCCGUAGCCGGCUCUGCAAGUCUUCGGUUAAAUCCACCUGCUCAACAGAUGGGCUGCUGGAGAUACUACAGAGCUAGGGAGUGGGAGAGGCAGACGGUAUUCAGUGGGUAGGGGUAAAAUCCUCUGAUCCAUUGAGGACCACCAGUGGCGAAGGCGGUCUGCCAGAACACGUUCGACGGUGAGGGAUGAAAGCUGGGGGAGCAAACCGGAUUAGAUACCCGGGUAGUCCCAGCUGUAAACGAUGCAAACUCGGUGAUGCAUUGGCUUAUGGCCAAUGCAGUGCCGCAGGGAAGCCGUUAAGUUUGCCGCCUGGGAAGUACGGACGCAAGUCUGAAACUUAAAGGAAUUGGCGGGGGAGCA